AGAGUUUGAUCCUGGCUCAGGAUAAACGCUGGUGGCGUGCCUUACCAAUGCGAGUCGAACGAGGUCAGGUUUCGGCCUGGUCGAGUGGCGCCCGGGUGCGCGACACGUCGGUGACCUACCCCGCUGUGGGGAAUACCCUGCCGAAAGGUGGGCUAAUACCGCAUGCGAUCCCCGGUCGAACGGGGAUGAAAGCCCGCAAGGGCGCUGUGGGAGGGGCCGGCGGCCUAUCAGCUUGUUGGUGGGGUAAUGGCCUACCAAGGCGACGACGGGGAGCCGAUCUGAGAGGAUGACCGGCCACAGUGGGACUGAGAUAUGGUCCACAGCCCUACGGGGUUUAGCAUGGAGGAAUCUUGCGCAACAUCCGAAAGGAUGGCGCAGCAACGCCGCGUGAGGGACGAAGCCGUUUGCGGUGUAAACCUCUGUUGCUCGGGAAGAAGUACCGCGGGGAGAGCCUCACGGGAAGACGGUACCGGGCGAGGAAGCCCCGGCUAACUACGUGCCAGCAGCCGCGGUAAU
This 516-nucleotide ribosomal RNA is filed under the name uncultured bacterium. RNAcentral describes it as "bacterial SSU rRNA". It matches the Rfam family "Bacterial small subunit ribosomal RNA", at positions 8 to 524 of the family's 1533-position model. The record is from RNAcentral.